UGGGAUAUGUUUUUGAUGGGAAAAGUUUGUCAUAUAAUUAGCCGUGAGUAAGAAACCACGUGGUAAUGAACUCAUUUCUCUUUUUAAGAAAUUGAGAAGAAAUGGUGCUUGUAUACCAUAUAGGGAAAAGACAGAUAUUAGGCUGAGGAGAAUAUUCUUGAUGGUUAAAAUGAUUCAGAUUUGACAUAGACACGAUUCCAUGUGUGUUUAUACCGUAUUUAUUUGUGUAUCUUCCCAUCUGUACCUAUCCCCUCAUUUCAACACUCUUAACUUUGAGGAGUAGAUACAAGACUCCACCACCAUAGCCCCACAUUAUUCCCCCCAGUGGCUUAUAGUGUCAGCAGCAGACUCAUAGCCAACUUGAAAUGCUUUGUCUGUGUUUCGAGACCAGAUUUGAAUGUGCAAAGCAAUUAGUAUGUACCUAAAUGAAAACCUGGAAAAAAAUUUACUUUUCUCUUUAAAUUUGUAUUGACUCCUGUACUUGUGGGGUGACAUAAAAAGCAUGGGCUGUCAUUGCCCUCUGACAUUCCAGGUGGCUCUUCCACAGGUUGCUUCCUGCAUUUUUAGUACCUACAGCAGGAAGUAAUACAUCUAUUUUUUAAUUUAAAACUUCAGAAAUUAUUUUUUCAAAACAAUUUAUUUUCCUAUGUAAUUCUGAAACUCCCCCCCUCUUUCCCCAAUCAAAGGACGGCUUGGAUUUAGGAAAUUCACUUUGGAACUUCAGAUGACACACCGAUUUGUAUGUGUACUACACAGGGAAAUUUCUUUGAAAUUCAGUAGCUACUAAAAAGUACUGAUAUCCCCUUUGUGGGUGAAACCUCGUUGUAGCCAUUUGUGUGUGUAGGCGAAGGAGGGGGAUUAUUAUACGCAUGUAAACACAAUUAAUAACUGCUAUUUAUAAUGAACAUUCCGCAAAACUGGAAAGUUAUGAGGGGAGAGGGUUACUUUUUUUCUUAUGACUUCCAAGUGUUUAUAUUAGUUGGGUCAUAAUGGAAAUUACAUGGAGAC
Molecule: long non-coding RNA, 1008 nt
Filed under: Phocoena sinus (vaquita)
Lineage: Eukaryota; Metazoa; Chordata; Mammalia; Artiodactyla; Phocoenidae
Description: lncRNA (ENSPSNG00000003628.1)
Source: RNAcentral